UACGAAGGGGGCUAGCGUUGCUCGGAAUCACUGGGCGUAAAGGGUGCGUAGGCGGGUUUUUAAGUCAGGGGUGAAAUCCUGGAGCUCAACUCCAGAACUGCCUUUGAUACUGAAGAUCUUGAGUUCGGGAGAGGUGAGUGGAACUGCGAGUGUAGAGGUGAAAUUCGUAGAUAUUCGGAGGAACACCAGAAGCGAAGGCGGCUCACUGGCCCGAUACUGACGCUGAGGCGCGAAAGCGUGGGGAGCAAACAGG
RNAcentral lists this ribosomal RNA (253 nucleotides) under uncultured bacterium. RNAcentral's name for it is "partial 16S ribosomal RNA". It matches the Rfam family "Bacterial small subunit ribosomal RNA", at positions 524 to 776 of the family's 1533-position model. The record is from RNAcentral.